RNAcentral lists this ribosomal RNA (253 nucleotides) under uncultured bacterium. RNAcentral describes it as "partial 16S ribosomal RNA". It matches the Rfam family "Bacterial small subunit ribosomal RNA", at positions 524 to 776 of the family's 1533-position model. The record is from RNAcentral.
UACGUAGGGUGCGAGCGUUAAUCGGAAUUACUGGGCGUAAAGCGUGCGCAGGUGGUCAUGCAAGACAGAUGUGAAAUCCCCGGGCUUAACCUGGGAACUGCAUUUGUGACUGCACGGCUAGAGUGCGGCAGAGGGGGAUGGAAUUCCGCGUGUAGCAGUGAAAUGCGUAGAUAUGUGGAGGAACACCAAUGGCGAAGGCAGCCCCCUGGGUCAACACUGACGCUCAUGCACGAAAGCGUGGGGAGCAAACAGG